This 945-nucleotide long non-coding RNA is filed under the name Numida meleagris (helmeted guineafowl). RNAcentral's name for it is "lncRNA (ENSNMEG00000017695.1)". The record is from RNAcentral. Lineage: Eukaryota; Metazoa; Chordata; Aves; Galliformes; Numididae.
AUGAGAAACCCCACCAGAGCUGAGGCAGUGAGACAUCUCUUCUCCCCAUCCCUUAUCAUCUGCAGGCACCAAAAAGCAAUACUCCUCAUAAGGCAGCCAUCCAGCAAAUUCCCACCCAACACAUGGAGGAGAAGACCAGACAACCAGUGCAUGUAUUUUCAGCCAGGCUCUAGGUGGAAUUUGAAAAUGGGAGUGCCAGGUGUGACAGAGGUGACAGGAAACCAAGGGUUGCCAGAUUCACAGAUGACCUCAGCAGAGCAGUUCAGCACGUGAUCCAUUACCCGCUUGUUCUUCGUUUGUCUCAAGCCAGCCAAGCCCAUAUGCAUCCAUAGCUCUGGUGAGGCUGUGCUGGGAUGAUCACUGCAGUGGGAGUAGUCAGGGCAUGCCUCCUCAGGCCUACAGCUGAUGCUGAGGAGUCCAUGUCAUGGCCAUAUGAAAUAGCUCAUUUCCUAAGCCCCCUUACUUAGUGUUACACCAAGACCUGAUGGCUCUGGGGAAAGCUGAGUAAUGUCUUUUUCUAUCUUAAUUCCCUGGUGCCCUUUUAUGGAAGCUUUGGCAAUGAGAGAUGGCCCACACUAGAGAAGUCCCAUGGGCUGGACUCACCUAAGUCUCUGUCUCCAGUGCUCAAAUUUUCUGCCCCUGCCAUUUUGCAAUUAAUCAGAUUUUCUAUACAGCACAUUACACAAAGCAUGCAGCCCCUGCCUUAUUACAGACACACUAAUUUUAAAUUUCAAUUAGUUGUGAUUUUGCUAAGACUCUCAGUGCUUUCACCUCAGGAAGUGCUCAGGAUUUCUCUGACCUUAGUCUGCAGUUUCCCUCUAAGCCCCAUUUUCCCCAGUGCUGCCACCAAAGCUCAGUGUCACUGUGGUAGGAUUGGACCCAUGUGCCUUAGGACACAGUCAAAUGUGUGGUGACCCAAUAAAACAGGAGUUGGGAAUUUUACCA